GAUGAACGCUGGCGGCGUGCCUAAUACAUGCAAGUCGAGCGAACGGACGAGAAGCUUGCUUCUCUGAUGUUAGCGGCGGACGGGUGAGUAACACGUGGAUAACCUACCUAUAAGACUGGGAUAACUUCGGGAAACCGGAGCUAAUACCGGAUAAUAUUUUGAACCGCAUGGUUCAAAAGUAAAAGACGGUCUUGCUGUCACUUAUAGAUGGAUCCGCGCUGCAUUAGCUAGUUGGUAAGGUAACGGCUUACCAAUGCAACGAUGCAUAGCCGACCUGAGAGGGUGAUCGGCCACACUGGAACUGAGACACGGUCCAGACUCCUACGGGAGGCAGCAGUAGGGAAUCUUCCGCAAUGGGCGAAAGCCUGACGGAGCAACGCCGCGUGAGUGAUGAAGGUCCUCGGAUCGUAAAACUCUGUUAUUAGGGAAGAACAUAUGUGUAAGUAACUGUGCACAUCUUGACGGUACCUAAUCAGAAAGCCACGGCUAACUACGUG
This 497-nucleotide ribosomal RNA is filed under the name uncultured bacterium. RNAcentral's name for it is "partial 16S ribosomal RNA". It matches the Rfam family "Bacterial small subunit ribosomal RNA", at positions 28 to 507 of the family's 1533-position model. The record is from RNAcentral.